GAAGCCUCCAUCGGUCGCUGGUGCCCCUCCAGCUUUCCUAUCAGCAUCCAUACUCGGCACAGUGAUUUACGGUACUAUAGCACUGGAAAGAGGUUUUGCUGCAGUUACUUUUAGGUCGCAGCAGACGAUCGCAAUUCGGGCGAGCUCACGAAUGCUUUUUGCACGCCCAGCCGCCGAUGUGUACGGCUGGCACGGGAAAGGAUGGGCCUCAAACUGUUAGCACCGGCAACUAACUGGUUCAAAGGCCCAAAGAGUUGUAAGCCCAAACAGAAAUCCAACGGCUCAGCGCCGGCGGCCAUGGCGGUGACGGCGGAGGCUACUAAGACCCCUUGCCGGCCGCCGGCCAACCUCCAGCGGCGUAGGGGACAGCGCCUACCCAGCUUCAUCGCUUCUCCCCCCGGUUGGCCAUAUGGUGGCCAGAGAGUACUCAAGAUUCAAGUUGCUCGGAGCCUGCAGAGUUUGGCCUAUGCAUCUUUUAGUUUGGUAUAUCUGUCUUCGAGUAUGUAGCUCGUGACACCUAAAAUGAUAUAACUCCCACAAUUGAUGUUGCAAUACUUCAAACCAUGACAAACUAUCAGCAUUUUUUACUGAAAAUACAUGAUGCCAGCGAAACUGAGAUCAUGAGAUCUAUUCAUCCGUAUCAGCUUCAGUCUAAGGUCUUGCGGUCUUCUAGUAUUGACGUACUGUUAGAUGACCAGCCAACGGGUUGGCCAUCCCUCAGUCCUCACUAGUAUGUCUGCACUCUUUCGGCUUUUCUCCUGUUUAGAAAAAAAAAACUAGACAAAACUAGGUGGCUUUUUAUUAAUAAGAAAUAGGCACCAAAAAUCACAUCGAAGAGGACUUCGACUUGGGUGGUCUAGGCAUAUAUCCACACGCUCAACCAACUGAGUAGGCUCAGUUCCUAUAGGCCUUUAUCCUGUUACAACAUCAAUGGUGAAUCUCGACUCUAGGAGCACAUUUGACCUGUUCUGCAGUUUGUCACUAAUACAAAUGUAUCAAUUGCUGUUAUAGCCACAUUUUACAGUACAACAAAAAGGAGAGGCGACAUAGACAACACCUAGGUAAAAACCGAAUAGGACUAGGGAGCAACAGUUGGAACUCACUUCAGGGCCCAAAAGACUUGGCAGCGUGCGUCCAUGUUAAGGUUUACGCAAAAGUGGGAAGCAGGGGAGACAUUGUGUUCAUAUACCUAAAGCCACAUAAAUUAAGAGGACAAGAAAUCUGUAGUUUGCUACUGUCAAAGAGAACAACAAAAUCUGUUGUUUGUUCUCUACACCCAUAUGUCCUGCUUUCCUUUCUAACAGAUUGCAAAAUAUUUAUUGAUAUCACUUGAAUGAAAAUACAACAUUUUCUUAGAGCUAUCCUUGUUUUCUCUCUGACGCAGAUAAGAUAGUGAGCUACUUUCUUUAAUCUUCUUAUAGAAAUGCUCUCUUAGACCCAAUUUGACCUAACGGAACAAGGGUUAUACUGCCUGGUAAAUUUACAUGCCUGGUACAUUCCAAUUUGACUAAUGCUACUCCUGGGAUAGCUUAGCUGAAGCUGAACUACCAGAGAGUAAAAUGUCUGCAUUAGGAUUCCCAAAUGGGGUUUCCCAGUGCAGCAGAGUCAAGAGAUGACUGAUGGUAAGAAUAGAUAUGCUCCUGAGGCUUCUGUUGCUCGUCAGAAUAGCUUAAUGCUGUCACAUCCGCGUUGUAGGUCUCAGAACUCAUAUCCAAAUUCCCACUGCCUCCUAAACCUAGAAAGUCUUGGGUUAAGGCAGCAUCUCCUACCCCUGAAAUGUUUUCCUGUCUGUUGUGCUGAGUCUGACUUUCAGGAAAAAUGCUGGGGAUCUCCUUUUCUGCGCUCAUGGCAAAUGGAUGGUUCAUUAGUCCAAUUAAGGGCACUGUAGUAGGUCUCAUGCAGCUGCUUGUCCAUGGUGAGUUCAUCAGAAUGUUACUGCGACCACUCAUGUAAGAGCCCUCAUCUUCAGCUGUCUUGAUGCCAACACUAUUAGCAGCUGAAUUCCCUAGGGAGUCCCCUUGGCUUACACUAGAUAUGUCCAUAUGAUCUCUAGUCACAUUACUUGGGAAACUUUUUAGAAGUAACGGCGAUAUAGGAUCAUGGCUGGUCUUUGCUCCCAUCUCUGCUGCUUUCUGUAGCAGUGCAGUUGCAGACAUGUAUGGAGAGUUCAUGGACAUGUAAGGGUAGCUCGAUGCGCUGCCAUCAAGUGGAAAACCUGAAUCCUUGGGUGAUAUCUGGUUGGAAAACAAUGCUGUGUUCCUUGUAAUGAGAGCAUAAGGGGACAUAGUUCUCAGAUGGCUGUCUGAAUUAUGGUCAUUGCAAGACAAGUUUGCGAUCACAUCUGUUGGUGAAGCAGUGAAGCUAGGUAUUCCAUGCGAAAAGAUGUCCUGCUGCUGACCAUGCAGACUUCCUACCAUUGUAGCAAGAGUGUGGUUAACCUUGGAGUUGUCUUCAGCCAAUGCAUCGCAGAAGGCUCGAUGUGUGAUGAAACUGUCCUUUCUGCAUUUACAUAAUAAAAUACAAAAUUGAAGGUAAAAUUUCAAAAGUUUAUAUGGGAGAUAUAAAUACUCACAUAUAACAUUUCCAGCAAUGCUAAAGGAUGUCAAGGAAUUGCAAAAUUCAAUUUUUCAUUGGCAUUGUGUUGCUUCAGUUUGACAACUAUGUGAAUGUGGUAAGCUUAUUUAUUUCUAACAAAUUGGAUUAUCCUUGUAACCAACACAUAAUUAAGUCUCAUAACUGGUGUGUACCAAGAGAAAUCAUGGGCCAUUUGCAGUUUCUCAAGUAAUCUUCCAGUUCAUGUAUCUCACAUGAGGCCAUUUAUAAGUAUCUUUUGAAGAUAUUUUAUUUUUUAUUUGAUACAUAAACCAUUGUUAUUAUGACCAGCCCUGCCCUAUGCAGUUACCUAACACUCAAGGACUCUAUCCUUUGCCCUUUUUUGUUUUGCUUGCUGCUGUUGUACCUAACUACUGCCUACUUGAAAUAUUUAGGCUUUGUAACAGAGGAAUAUGCAUUAGGUCACAUCAUGCACUUUUUUCAUUGAGUCACACGUGCAGAAGUAUGAAAGUAUGAUACAACAAUGUGCAUUAAGUUCAGAUAAUAAUCGUUCUACAGUCAAGCAUAGCUGGUUUAACUGCUGUGUAUAGUGUUGUUGGUUCAUGAGAGAGAUACCUUGAGAAGAUUGUUCCACAGUCACAUCGGUACUCCUUUGUGCCACAUAUCUUUGUGUGAGCCUUCCAGUCCGAUUGGACAGCAUACUUCUUUGAACACCUAUCGCACUUCCACUUCUUCUCCCCAUGCUUCCUGGAGUAGUGCUUUUUUAUGCCUGUGAGAUCACCCAAAGCCCGGCUUGCAUCAUGAUGAGGGCAGGUGAUCUCCGGGCAGACAUACACCUUCUUAUUGGCUUCAGUGCUGCUUCUCUGUUUCAGCUUCCAUGGUAGGUUAUGGCCUCUCCUGUGGAGCUGGAGGUUCUGGUCUCUCUGGAAGCCCUUAUGGCAGACCUCACAUAUGUAUCUGUUUGUUGCAAGGAGGGUCUUAGGUGACAAAGCCACUACUUCUACAUCAGGAUCUGCAAGAUGGAUAUCAUGAACAAAUGUUAGGUUGUCACAGGCAUGACAGUAUCACCUUUGCUUGACCCAGCUGCGCAACCUUCAAGCUUCGCUUGCUGCUGGAAAUUGUUCGGGGAUUCUUCCUCCAACGUGUGUGACAUUGUUUGGAAGACUGGAUACUGGUCCCAGAGGGUUCC
Long non-coding RNA from Phragmites australis (common reed), 3742 nucleotides. RefSeq lists it as uncharacterized. The record is from RefSeq and is a predicted model, not a curated record. The transcript has 3 exons. Lineage: Eukaryota; Viridiplantae; Streptophyta; Magnoliopsida; Poales; Poaceae.